UACGUAGGGGGCAAGCGUUGUCCGGAAUCAUUGGGCGUAAAGCGCGUGUAGGCGGCUAGGUAAGUCUGCUGUGAAAGUCCAGGGCUCAACCCUGGGAUGCCGGUGGAUACUGCUGGGCUAGAGUACGGAAGAGGCGAGUGGAAUUCCCGGUGUAGCGGUGAAAUGCGCAGAUAUCGGGAGGAACACCAAUUGCGAAGGCAGCUCGCUGGGACGUUACUGACGCUGAGACGCGAAAGCGUGGGGAGCAAACAGG
This 253-nucleotide ribosomal RNA is filed under the name uncultured bacterium. Its description in RNAcentral is "partial 16S ribosomal RNA". It matches the Rfam family "Bacterial small subunit ribosomal RNA", at positions 524 to 776 of the family's 1533-position model. The record is from RNAcentral.